UGAUGGCGGGGCUGGUGAAGGACCGCGAGGCCUUCCAGAGGCUCAGCUUCCUGUACCAGGCUGCCCAUUGUGUCCUUGCCCAGGACCCCGAGAACCAGGCGCUGGCAAGAUUUUACUGCCACAUGGAGAGGACCAUUGCGAAGCGGCUCGUCUUGCGGCAGCUGAAAGGGGACAGCGCUGGACAGUACAGACCUGCCUCACAUGCCAGCGCAGCCAACGCUUCCUCAAUGAUCCUGGGCAUUUACUCUGGGGAGACAGGCCUGAGGCCCAGCUGGGGAACCAGGCAGGUGAGAGAUUCUAAACCACUACAGCCCUUGCAAAACACAGCCCACUCCAUUCCAGCCCACCUUCCUGAGAAAAUGCCGACUCAAGGUUCCAGUCACCAGUGAUGAAUUCACCCCAGCUCCCAAAUAUAG
RNA transcript from Sapajus apella (tufted capuchin), 416 nucleotides. It is a transcript of the gene named ribonuclease P protein subunit p21 pseudogene, with no coding region annotated. The record is from RefSeq and is a predicted model, not a curated record. The transcript has a single exon. NCBI's taxonomy places the organism in Eukaryota, Metazoa, Chordata, Mammalia, Primates, Cebidae.